RNAcentral lists this transfer RNA (73 nucleotides) under Stegodyphus mimosarum. It matches the Rfam family "tRNA". From Rfam's summary of the family: Transfer RNA (tRNA) molecules are approximately 80 nucleotides in length. Their secondary structure includes four short double-helical elements and three loops (D, anti-codon, and T loops). The record is from Rfam by way of RNAcentral. Lineage: Eukaryota; Metazoa; Arthropoda; Arachnida; Araneae; Eresidae.
ACCUUCGUGGCGUAAUGGCCAACACACUCGACGCGUAUUCGAGAGGUCCGUGGUUCAAAUCCCGGAGAGGGCA